UGGGGUUGUGGCUCAGUGGUAGAGUGUUGCCUUAUAUGUGUGAGGCACUGGGUUCUAUCCUCAGCACCACAA
Molecule: transfer RNA, 72 nt
Filed under: Marmota monax (woodchuck)
Lineage: Eukaryota; Metazoa; Chordata; Mammalia; Rodentia; Sciuridae
Description: tRNA.Ile
Source: RNAcentral